GCCCUUCCCUGCUUUUGAUUAAAUCUUAUCCAUCCUUUAAGGCCCAGUUCAAAUUUCACUUCGAUUACAGUCAAUCUUCUCAACCCCAUGGAAUAAAGAGUUGCUCCCUCUCUACUACAAGAUCUGUGGUGGUUCAUGGUCUCUAAUUCCUAACCCCUGCUACCUGAUUUCCUUGGACUCGGAUCUCUUAGACCAUCUUGCAAAUGACAUUCAGCAAUACUCAGAGUAAAGACUUUAAGAAGACCCUGAGAAGAAACAGAAGUGAAAAAAACAGAAGUUGUCAAGAACACAGAAGACCACCCCAUCCACUGACUGAGAAAAAUAAAGUUGGACUGUCACAGAAGAAAUGGAAUAGUUGCUGGUGUUUUAAGCUAAGAGUAAAAGAAGAAAAGAAAAAAAAGAAAGAGAUAGUUAACUUCUCAGAGGAGGAAAUAGGAAAGGAUGGGAGUGAUGCAAAAACAGCAGAGCAAAGAUCUCCAAACAUUCUCUCCUCCAUAAAACCAACAAUAAAACUAGCAAAAACUGUCAAAAUCAACUUUUCCAGAACUCUGGAAAUUAAUUCAAAACUUGCAAUAUUCUAAACAGUGUUCUUUCAAGAAAAACAGCCAUAUCUUGGUAAGAAAAUGAGCUUUGCAGUUUCAGUGCGCCCUUAUUUCCAUUCUUCUUCCCCUGAUCCAGCUCUGUAGUAUCCUUGAAAAUCAACAUCCCACAACUGUGGUAAAAACUAGUAGCCUGACAGUCAUCAAAGGGGACAGAUCGGGGUUGGAGCUCCUUCAAAACCACAUAUCCAGAUAAUUAUCAUUAUUUCAACUAUCUGAUGGUUCCCUGGAAGGCCCCACAUAUAGAGAUGUCUUUAUUUGAUUUAAAUUGGGGUUUGUCUAGUGCAAAAAGUCUUCUCGGGAGACAUUUGUUGAAAAUAAUUAAAGGCAAAUAUUUAACAUUACAUAUGCCUGAGGCAGUAUAUAACAGGGCACACAACUGACUAACUAAAAAGCUUGAAAGGAAAAACUGGGCUAUGAGAUAUCCAUAGAUGACUUUAAAGGCUCUGACAUAUUCCUGGGAUUCUAUAAGGCUACAUACAUGCAUAGGGCUGUGCAUAAGCUCAGAAAAGACUGAGAAGGUUCUAAGCAGCUCUCACCUAUGACUGACCUUGAAGCUCUGUACAAGCAGGAAGUGAAGCCUAAAGCAGAGUUGUCAAAUGCCUGAGUGUUUAAGGUAUGUGCCAAUACACACAUAUAGUUCUUCAGCAAAGACUGGGAACUUAUCAGGUCCAGGUUUUUAAGGAAAUCUGCAUCCAAUCAUUAGCUGGCCACUAAGCUAACCAAGCAGGGACUUUAGUGGUC
This is a long non-coding RNA of Canis lupus familiaris (dog), 1343 nucleotides long. RefSeq lists it as uncharacterized. The record is from RefSeq and is a predicted model, not a curated record. The transcript is spliced from 4 exons. Lineage: Eukaryota; Metazoa; Chordata; Mammalia; Carnivora; Canidae.